RNAcentral lists this non-coding RNA (25 nucleotides) under Gallus gallus (chicken). The record is from RNAcentral. RNAcentral also lists the same sequence under 3 other names. Lineage: Eukaryota; Metazoa; Chordata; Aves; Galliformes; Phasianidae.
GGUUUCUCUUCAGAUCGUAUAAAUC